UUGCGAAAUUGUAAUAGGAUUUGGGUGUUCACAAACCUCGUCCUCGGAGCCUAGUGCGAGUCAGAACCGCUAGCUGUUUGCUUCCUAGGGCGCAAGGACUGCAGCUGAUACCUUCAGCCGUUCGCAUUAUUAACAUGCUGGAAGUUUGUAUCUUUUGACGACCUUCAUUGGCUUCCCCCUCCCUCCAUACCACUUUCCCACACUUUCCCAUGAGGAAAUGCUACAAGGAUUCCUUCAGGUUGACAUGAAAGGAUGCUGGACAGUAACUCGAAGCCAUUUGAAGAUCUAAAGAUCUCUGUUAAAGGGAUUUAUUUGGAGUGAGUUUACUGGGGACUUAACCUGAAGAUGAUGAAGAUAUUGAACCCCACCCCCGCCCCGGGCACUGGCGGUUGGUACAGCAUCGGUCAGUGUGUUUAUAGGGGACUCAGCAGGUUAGGAACCUGAGGCUUCAUCCCUGGCUUCAUCAGUGGGUUAAGGAUCUGGCAUUGCUACAGGCUGCAGUGUAGGCCACAGAUACGGCUCGGAUCCAGUGUUGCCAUGACUGUGGCAUAGGCCAGCAGCUGCAGCUCCAAUUCGACCCCUAGCCUGGGAAUUUCCAUGUGCUGCAGGUGUGGCCCUAAAAAGAAAAAAAAAAAAAAAGAAGUACAAAGUAUCAUUAAUGAAAGUGGACAGAGAUGACCACGAGUCAAUAGUACUUUGUACUUCAACCACCUUCCAGCAGAGCAUCUCAAAGGACUGGACAUCCUACCCUUUCACAUAGAUCAGGAGGCUCAGUGAUGACGAAUCCUCUUAAGACCUAAGUAUACCCCUUGUCAGGGUGAAAUUAGCAGCUAUUUUCCAAAUCAUAGAGAUAUUGAAAAACAGCUUUGGUCAGGACACAGGUAUUGCAUUUGGCUUGUCUUAAGUUCCUGGCCUAGGCGGAUGGGGUAUUGCAGAAAUGUGUGUGUACAAACACAUGCACACAAGUGGGGGAGGGUGUCGAACUUGAUAACACCAGGAGGUGGCAGGCUGGUAGGAGGGGCACUGGCUUUGGUAUGGGACAAAGUUCUGACUCUGCCCUUACUAGCUGUGUGACUCUAGAAAAUUAGCAAAUUCCCAUGAGCCUCAGUUUCCUUUUUGGGUAAAAGAAGAUUGUAACUCCUGCCUUGAUGACUUCUAUGUGGAUGAGACAAUCCCAUGUGUGCAAAAUAUCUAGUACAUAAUAGAGAUUGAAUGAAUAUUUCCUGUAGCUUCUUUUCUCUCUCUCUCUCUCUCUUUUUUUUUUUUUUUUUUUUGGACCUCU
Sus scrofa (pig) is the source of this 1282-nucleotide non-coding RNA. The record is from RefSeq and is a predicted model, not a curated record. Lineage: Eukaryota; Metazoa; Chordata; Mammalia; Artiodactyla; Suidae.